AUUCUGAUGGCCGAUAAUAAGCGAUAGAUUGUAAAUCUAUUUAUAACUAGUAAUAGUUUCAGGAAG
Molecule: transfer RNA, 66 nt
Filed under: Ascobulla fragilis
Lineage: Eukaryota; Metazoa; Mollusca; Gastropoda; Volvatellidae
Description: tRNA-Tyr
Source: RNAcentral